GACGCCGGGUUUGGGAGGGGCCGGCUUGUGAGCCCCGCCCAUUGAUUCUGCGCACGCGCACGCAUGCGCACUUAUCAGGUCCUGCCGCCGGGUUCUAAGGCCGGAUCCAGAGAGCCGUUGGGAGACGGUUGGGCGUGGCAACGGACGCUAUCCGAAGGUCACGCCCACUCCGGACUAGGGGGCGGGGCUUCCUAACGGAAGCUCACAUGCCAAGUCCUGGAACACCGGCUCUUCCUGCUAACUGCUUUGGGGUUGCGGAAUGGUAAGACCCUCCACCGGAUGAGGACCUCUAGCUUUGAGGAAUCAGAGGAUUGGAGCGGCCAUAGGGACACUAAGAAGGGCAGCGGUUGUCUGCGUUGAGACCCGUGCGGCGAGUAGCUCGGAGAAUCUAGGCGCAGCCGUCGCCGCUGCAGAGGCCCCAGGCGCGGAUCUGCAGGGCAGUGAGUGUCCCCAUGUGACCCGCGCGCUGCUGGGACCUAAGGGCACGUAUGGGAGCUGCCGCCUCCGCCGAGGGCUCGAGUCUGCAAGGCAUGCGCGACGCUGACACCUUGGCUGUGCAUCCACGAGGGGCUGGAACUCAAGAAGAAGCACCGCUCUUUUUUUUUUUUUUUUAAUUCUUUUUUUCGGAGCUGGGGACCGAACCCAGGGCCUUGCGUUGAAGCACCGCUCUUGUAGCCCUCCUGAGAGGCGAACUGGAGGUGGCCAGUCUUUGUCUGCACAACAGGAUGCGGAACCAUCGCUCAGCAUCGUCCCCUCCGCAUUCGGAGCGGACGGAACGAUCCCUGCUUUGCACCCCAGCCACUGGAAAACAGGAACGCCUCACCGAGGAGGAAGGGAAGCGCCAAGGUCACCGACCCUAAUCGGGGACCGCGUCAACCCAGCCGGUGGGCAGCGUUACCUUGGUGGACUUCAUCUGCAUGCACCUCAGCCAGGUCCCAGCCUUGCCUGUGCUCCUUGGGAGAUUGGUGGUGAGAAUCCUGUAAACAGCAGGAAAGUAAGUUUGUAUGAGUUGGCAAUGUAUUAGAAUUCCUUAACAGACGUGCAAGGAGGGAUUAGUGAUAUAGGACUAAUCUUCUUUCUUUCCUCUUCAUAGCCCUGGCUGACCCGGGACAAGCUCUGUAGACCAGGCUGGCCUCACUCAGAGAUUUGCCUGCCUCUGCCUCUAGAAUGCUGGGAUUAUAGGCGUGGUGCCUGUGCCACUGCUGCCUGGCUCCCAGUCGUUUUUCUAUGGGAGAGAGUUCACUCAGUGAGAAGGGGACAUGUACCCAACCCUGUGACAUCCACCCUGUCACUUCCUGCAGAGGGAGAACCGUGGCCAGUUGGACUGGAUAAGGGGAGUUCCAGAGACGGCUCCAUCAUAGGUGGGAAUGACUAGCAAACCAAGUGCCACCAGUGGCUGAAUGUGAGAGAUCUGACUAGUGUGGCCUGUGGCUUUCGAGGGAGAAGGGAGACAGGAGGGGCCAGAGAAGGGGCUGUGGGCUGAGGCCAAGUGAAAGCAGUGUUUUGGGCAUUCUGGGUAGGAGGAGCUGGGUGAUGGGUCUGGAAGAACAGAGAGAGGGCUUGGAGCAGAAAUAGGAGAAGGUUUGGACAUAGGUAGUCUUUCCCUUUCCCCAGUCAUGCAUAGCAGUUGUAAAGGUUCCAAAUAACAUUGGAAACUAGGUUGCCAUUAGGCAGCCCUCUGGAUUGAUUAUCUGAGGAAUACUGACUGCAAACGCAACUAAGCAACUAAGGUUGGGCCACUGAGGUCAGGUGCCAGGUGGAGAGGCUGGAGGUUUUCUGAGAGGCAUCCCAAGGGGGGAAUGGACGUCACUGCUUUGUGGAUGGGAAGGGUGGUGUGGGGAGAAGGUCACAGCAGCCUGUAAUCAGGCAUUCCCAGGACUCAGGGAUGACCAAACAAGAUGAAGCUGUUUAGUGGGUCCUCACUACACUCCAUGGUGUCAGGACUCAGUGUCUGGUAUCAGAGCUUUGGAUGGGGCCCAAGGCUUCCCAGAAGGCAACAACAAGAACAAGUUUAGGAACAAGGUCUUACCCAGGGGAAAGGGAUGGAGAACAGGGUCACAUAGUAUCAUAAAAGCCACAAGAGCACAGAGAAGCUCUGGAGUUACAUGCAGCUUCGAUGGGGAGAUGGAAAAGAGGAGGAAGGAUUGCAGUAGCCAGCUGGGCCUAGGGAAGCUGUAGGAUCUUAGCUCCAAGCGGGGAUGGGGGUGGGCGUGGGGCUUCAGUGAAGAGGGUCGGCCAUAGCCUUAGAGACUGCAGGAGAUGGGGUGGGUGAACAGGUCAUAGCUGCAGGUACUGAAGCAACCUAGGGAAAAACAUCCUCUCUAAAGGGAAGAACAACCCAAGGGUUAGUAGUUUGGUACACAGGUUCAAUGUACUGUGAGGAAGGUACAGUGACAGGAAGGAAGUGGCUUGUAGAAUUCUAGCUGGGUCACACCUGCAGGCAGGUCUAUUAUUUCAAACUUUAAAAAAAUAAACUACUGGUAUAGGUCAA
This is a long non-coding RNA of Rattus norvegicus (Norway rat), 2491 nucleotides long. RefSeq lists it as uncharacterized. The record is from RefSeq and is a predicted model, not a curated record. NCBI's taxonomy places the organism in Eukaryota, Metazoa, Chordata, Mammalia, Rodentia, Muridae.